Molecule: transfer RNA, 77 nt
Filed under: Alcaligenes faecalis
Lineage: Bacteria; Pseudomonadati; Pseudomonadota; Betaproteobacteria; Burkholderiales; Alcaligenaceae
Also listed under: 179 other names
Description: tRNA-Asp(gtc)
Rfam family: tRNA
About the family: Transfer RNA (tRNA) molecules are approximately 80 nucleotides in length. Their secondary structure includes four short double-helical elements and three loops (D, anti-codon, and T loops).
Source: RNAcentral
GGAGUGGUAGUUCAGUUGGUUAGAAUACCGGCCUGUCACGCCGGGGGUCGCGGGUUCGAGUCCCGUCCGCUCCGCCA